Molecule: unclassified non-coding RNA, 337 nt
Filed under: soil metagenome
Description: partial contains 5.8S ribosomal RNA, internal transcribed spacer 2, and large subunit ribosomal RNA
Rfam family: 5.8S ribosomal RNA (bases 1-120)
Source: RNAcentral
GAUGAAGAACGCAGCGAAAUGUGAUAAGUAGUGUGAAUUGCAGAAUUCAGUGAAUCAUCGAAUCUUUGAACGCACAUUGCGCCCCUUGGUAUUCCAUGGGGCAUGCCUGUUCGAGCGUCAUUUGUACCUUCAAGCUCUGCUUGGUGUUGGGUGUUUGUCUCGCCUCUGCGUGUAGACUCGCCUCAAAACAAUUGGCAGCCGGCGUAUUGAUUUCGGAGCGCAGUACAUCUCGCGCUUUGCACUCAUAACGACGACGUCCAAAAGUACAUUUUUACACUCUUGACCUCGGAUCAGGUAGGGAUACCCGCUGAACUUAAGCAUAUCAAUAAGCGGAGGA